GUCUUCGUGGUGUAGUGGUUAGCAUGCUCGACGCGUAACCGAGAGGUCCGUGGUUCGAUUCCCGGCGAAGGCG
This 73-nucleotide transfer RNA is filed under the name Stegodyphus mimosarum. It matches the Rfam family "tRNA". Rfam says of the family: Transfer RNA (tRNA) molecules are approximately 80 nucleotides in length. Their secondary structure includes four short double-helical elements and three loops (D, anti-codon, and T loops). The record is from Rfam by way of RNAcentral. Lineage: Eukaryota; Metazoa; Arthropoda; Arachnida; Araneae; Eresidae.